This 254-nucleotide ribosomal RNA is filed under the name uncultured bacterium. RNAcentral's name for it is "partial 16S ribosomal RNA". It matches the Rfam family "Bacterial small subunit ribosomal RNA", at positions 524 to 776 of the family's 1533-position model. The record is from RNAcentral.
UACGGGGGGGGCAAGCGUUGUUCGGAAUUACUGGGCGUAAAGGGCUCGUAGGCGGCCAACUAAGUCAGACGUGAAAUCCCUCGGCUUAACCGGGGAACUGCGUCUGAUACUGGAUGGCUAGAGUGUGGGAGAGGGAUGCGGAAUUCCAGGUGUAGCGGUGAAAUGCGUAGAUAUCUGGAGGAACACCGGUGGCGAAGGCGGCAUCCUGGGCCACGACUGACGCUGAGUGAGCGAAAGCCAGGGGAGCAAACGGG